Molecule: long non-coding RNA, 329 nt
Filed under: Capsicum annuum
Lineage: Eukaryota; Viridiplantae; Streptophyta; Magnoliopsida; Solanales; Solanaceae
Description: long non-coding RNA (CANN_LNC017059)
Source: RNAcentral
GGGGUAGGGGUAGGCCGAAGAAUUACUGGGGAGAGGUGAUUUGGCGGGACAUGGAGCAGUUACAGCUCACUGAGGACAUGACCCUAGAUAGGAAGAUCUGGAGGACGCGAAUUAGGGCAGAAGGCUAGGGUCAGUUUGGGUCGCUAGUGUAGGGUAUUACUUGGUGGGGGUAUUAUGCUUGUUAUGGUACCUUGUUUCAUGAUUUAUUAUGAAUCUGUUUAGUUUUCUCUGUUUUCUAUUACUUGUGGGUGUCGUAUUUAUGUUAUGCCAUCUUGUUCCAUGCUUUACUAUGUAUUUGUGUAGUAUUCCGUGUCUCGAGCCGGGGGUCU